This 890-nucleotide ribosomal RNA is filed under the name Cerrena unicolor. RNAcentral's name for it is "LSU rRNA". It matches the Rfam family "Eukaryotic large subunit ribosomal RNA", at positions 64 to 940 of the family's 3401-position model. Lineage: Eukaryota; Fungi; Basidiomycota; Agaricomycetes; Polyporales; Cerrenaceae. The record is from RNAcentral.
ACUAACAAGGAUUCCCCUAGUAACUGCGAGUGAAGCGGGAAAAGCUCAAAUUUAAAAUCUGGCAGCCUUCGGUUGUCCGAGUUGUAGUCUGGAGAAGUGUUUUCCGCGCUGGACCGUGUAUAAGUCCCUUGGAAUAGGGCGUCAUAGAGGGUGAGAAUCCCGUCUUUGACACGGACUACCAGUGCUUUGUGAUGCGCUCUCAAAGAGUCGAGUUGUUUGGGAAUGCAGCUCAAAAUGGGUGGUAAAUUCCAUCUAAAGCUAAAUAUUGGCGAGAGACCGAUAGCGAACAAGUACCGUGAGGGAAAGAUGAAAAGCACUUUGGAAAGAGAGUUAAACAGUACGUGAAAUUGCUGAAAGGGAAACGCUUGAAGUCAGUCGCGUUAUGCAGAACUCAGCCUGGCUUUUGCUUGGUGUAUUUUCUGUAUGACGGGUCAGCAUCAAUUUUGAUCGCUGGAAAAAGGCCUCAGAAAUGUGGCACCUUCGGGUGUGUUAUAGUCUGGGGUCAUAUACAGCGGUUGGGAUUGAGGUCUGCAGCACGCCUUUAUGGCUGGGGUUCGCCCACAUUCGUGCUUAGGAUGCUGGCGUAAUGGCUUUAAACGACCCGUCUUGAAACACGGACCAAGGAGUCUAACAUGCCUGCGAGUGUUUGGGUGGAAAACCCGAGCGCGUAAUGAAAGUGAAAGUUGAGAUCCCUGUCGUGGGGAGCAUCGACGCCCGGACCAGACCUUUUGUGACGGAUCUGCGGUAGAGCAUGUAUGUUGGGACCCGAAAGAUGGUGAACUAUGCCUGAAUAGGGUGAAGCCAGAGGAAACUCUGGUGGAGGCUCGUAGCGAUUCUGACGUGCAAAUCGAUCGUCAAAUUUGGGUAUAGGGGCGAAAGACUAAUCGAAC